UUGUUUGGAAUUAAACUUCUAGCAAUCAUUUACCUUUAUGGUUCUCUUAACUUCAGGUCACACUGUUGUUUAGUCAAUGUGAGAAUCUUUCAGAUGUUCUGCACUUUGCAAAAGGAUAUUCACAGCCAAUGUGUGCGGCAGUGAAGGACACUUGUUGAUUCCUUAUUUAUUGUCUGCUGUUCCAGGGACCGGGGACUAGAGGUGAAUAAAGCCUUGUUUGGGCUGUCUAGGAUGUUGUGAUCGACACAGGAAACAGACAUGAAAGCCAAAUUGGCGCAGUGGGUGAAGUAUUGUAAUACUGGUCUCUGUUUAUGAUAUAUGGAAGAAGUUUCCUAGUAGCAGGGUGGGUGAGAGAGUCCAUCAUCAUUGCAGAUUGGUGCCUCUGUGGACAUGCAGGUAUAUUAGGCCAGAGGUGGGGAGUGGGAGAGAGAGGGAGAGAGAGAGCACGACAAAGAGAGAGAGAGAGAGUGAGCAAGAGAGAGGGAGGGAGAGAGACAGAGAGAGAGAGAGAGAGAGAGAGAGAGUGAGCAAGAGAGAGGGAGGGAGAGAGACAGAGAGAGAGAGAGAGAGAGAGGUUUUGAGAGCAUUGAUAUGGGGUCUACAUAUUCCCCCCGGCCCCCAUUCCCUAUUAUCAUAGAAGCAUGCUGCCCUCCAAGGCUUUUGAAUUUGCCACCGUGAAGAGCAUGCAUGGAAUCUUCGGCUGUGGCCUUGCAUUGCCCCCUGUCUUCGCAGCGGAGCUUCUUUAUCUGACCCGUGCAUGUGCCUCUGAUGAGCAGCCCUUCAUCACAGCUCUGCGGCCUCCUCCUAGGCCCCCGCCUUCAGCUCUCCAGUUCAUUUCCCGCCUUGUUCCCAUUGCCACCUGCGGGCUUGGAGGGCCACCUGACAUUCUGUCCUUUGGGUCCCCUGUGACUCCAGAGCUCCUUCCCUUCUGGGGCGCCCACAUCUGCGACACGCUUGUUUGCCCAGUGCAUUUUCUACACUUAGAGUUCCUCUCGUGCUCUCAUAUUUCCAUUUAAAGCCCUCUCGAGAGGUCUGUCUCCUGCCAGCAGCAUUCCUUCUAGUUUACUAGAACUCCAUUUCUCAUCCUGCCAGGAAUCCAGCCGUGGAGUGAGCUUCAGCAAGCCUCUCUGCAGUCUCUUGUCUGCUCCAAAACUGUGGCCUCUGGUUGUGAGAAAUGGGCAUCCUGAGUCAGUGAGAGCAGUAGUUAGCUUGCAGCAGCUUCCCCUCUCCCCCUGAGUGAGCCUUUCUUCCUCUUCCUCCUCUUUCAUUCAGCCUCAUCCUGCCUUGGGUCCAUUUGACAGAUAAUGGCACCUUGAGGCCUUGUCUUUUGCAUGGCAUCUGUGCCUGACUGGUCAGAAAUUACUUGUGAAGCAACAUAGGGGGUUGUUGGUUGGGUCCACUUUUAGGAUGAAGUCAGAAGGGAUCGUGAGUGAUGCUUGGCCAAUAAGAAUGUAUUGAUUUGAUUUACUAAUUAAUUUCAUUUCCAGACACCAAUAUAUGCAUAGCCUUGUUUGAAGAAAAUUAAGGAGAACCAUUUUGUAAAUGGCAAUGAGUGUAAGACACUUAACUAUCUUCCUGCUCUCCCUGGCGUGGGCUUCCGCGCUCCCUGACUCUGCUUUUAUUUAAGGUGUCUGGGAAGGCAUUUGUCCUUCGGCUUCCCAGCUGGCUUCUUGCCUUCUCACUCACUGCCUCCCGUAGCCUGUGGGCAGAAUCCCUCACCGUGCCCACCUUGCCCUGCUCUCGUCUGACCUCACCUCUGUUUCCAGGAUUUGCUAUGGCUGUCCCCUGCCAGUCAUGCUCUGUGCUUGCUACUCUGAGUGUGUCCCUGGUCCCACUCUCUUGCAGCCUCUGUGUCUUAGCACAUGCUGCCCUGAUGGCCCAAGGGCCCUUCCCCUUUGUUUCUGUCUGGGGAAUGUUCUGUCUCCUCUUUCUUGAACCUCCUUAUAUUCCCUCAAGAAGACUUAAGGCAAAAACAAACCUGAACUUACUAUGUGUGGUAUUUUUGUGUUAUAAGUGUAGGACCUAGUCAUAGUAACACAUUUCAAAAAUAUGGAACCGUAUAAAGAAAAUGAGCAUCACUCAUAAAUCACUAUUUAGACACAAGCAUUGUUUACGUUUCUAAUAUUCUUUCUUUAGUGGUGCUUUUCAUGAUUUUAUGUGCAUUUGCAUUUUACUGACUAAAUAUUACUAUAUAAACAUUUUCAUAUCUUGCCACUUCACCUAACAAUACAGCACAAGCAGCUUCUCAUGGCAUUAAGAAUUGUUU
This is a long non-coding RNA of Homo sapiens (human), 2266 nucleotides long. RefSeq lists it as uncharacterized. Lineage: Eukaryota; Metazoa; Chordata; Mammalia; Primates; Hominidae. The record is from RefSeq and is marked validated. The transcript has a single exon.